UACGAAGGGGGCUAGCGUUGCUCGGAAUCACUGGGCGUAAAGCGCACGUGGGCGGAUUGUUAAGUCGGGGGUGAAAUCCUGGAGCUCAACUCCAGAACUGCCUUUGAUACUGGGGAUCUCGAGUCCGGAAGAGGUGAGUGGAACUCCGAGUGUAGAGGUGAAAUUCGUAGAUAUUCGGAAGAACACCAGUGGCGAAGGCGGCUCACUGGUCCGGUACUGACGCUGAGGUGCGAAAGCGUGGGGAGCAAACAGG
This 253-nucleotide ribosomal RNA is filed under the name uncultured bacterium. Its description in RNAcentral is "partial 16S ribosomal RNA". It matches the Rfam family "Bacterial small subunit ribosomal RNA", at positions 524 to 776 of the family's 1533-position model. The record is from RNAcentral.